AAACUAGGAUUAGAUACCCUUUUAUUUAUUAUUAAAAUUUUUUAUUUAAUAAAUAUUUUUUAAUAAAAAAAUUAAUUAAAAUGGCAGUAUAUUAUAAAAUUAGAGGAUUUUGUUAUAUAAUAGAUAUUACACUUUAAAAUUUAUUUAAUUUUUUGUAUAUAUAUAUUGUAUAUUGUUGUAUUAAACUGAUAUUUUAAAAAUUAUUAGUAUUUUUUUUUAAAAAAAUAAAUUCAAAUCAACAUACAUGCCAUAAUUAAAAUUUAAAUGAAAUACAAUUAAAUCUAUUAAUGAAUAAUAAAUUGUAAAAUUUAUUUAAAAUUGGAUUUAAUAGUAAAAAUUUAAUAAAUUUUUUAUUUGAAUUAAAUUAAUAUAUGUACAUAUUGCCCGUCGUUUUUAAUU
Molecule: ribosomal RNA, 399 nt
Filed under: Mayetiola destructor (Hessian fly)
Lineage: Eukaryota; Metazoa; Arthropoda; Insecta; Diptera; Cecidomyiidae
Description: partial 12S ribosomal RNA
Source: RNAcentral